This 25-nucleotide non-coding RNA is filed under the name Rattus norvegicus (Norway rat). Lineage: Eukaryota; Metazoa; Chordata; Mammalia; Rodentia; Muridae. The record is from RNAcentral.
CAGUAGAAAUGAGUUCAUUGCCUGU